ACAACGCGGGCGACGGCUUUGUCAUCGCCCGCCGGCUGGCCCUCCACGGGACGCCGUGCCGGGUGGUGCUGGCGUGCGACCCGUCCGAAUUGUC
RNAcentral lists this transfer RNA (94 nucleotides) under Posidoniimonas corsicana. Its description in RNAcentral is "Planctomycetes bacterium KOR34 tRNA-Ala". Lineage: Bacteria; Pseudomonadati; Planctomycetota; Planctomycetia; Pirellulales; Lacipirellulaceae. The record is from RNAcentral.